Molecule: ribosomal RNA, 388 nt
Filed under: uncultured bacterium
Lineage: Bacteria
Description: bacterial SSU rRNA
Rfam family: Bacterial small subunit ribosomal RNA
Source: RNAcentral
AUUGAACGCUGGCGGCAUGCCUUACACAUGCAAGUCGAACGGUAACGGGCCUUCGGGUGCCGACGAGUGGCGAACGGGUGAGUAAUGCAUCGGAACGUACCUUUCAGUGGGGGAUAACGUAGCGAAAGUUACGCUAAUACCGCAUAUUCUGUGAGCAGGAAAGCAGGGGAUCGCAAGACCUUGCGCUGAUUGAGCGGCCGAUGUCAGAUUAGCUAGUUGGUGAGGUAAAGGCUCACCAAGGCGACGAUCUGUAGCGGGUCUGAGAGGAUGAUCCGCCACACUGGAACUGAGACACGGUCCAGACUCCUACGGGAGGCAGCAGUGGGGAAUUUUGGACAAUGGGCGCAAGCCUGAUCCAGCCAUGCCGCGUGAGUGAAGAAGGCCUCGG